This 464-nucleotide ribosomal RNA is filed under the name Vreelandella stevensii. RNAcentral's name for it is "partial 16S ribosomal RNA". It matches the Rfam family "Bacterial small subunit ribosomal RNA", at positions 339 to 795 of the family's 1533-position model. Lineage: Bacteria; Pseudomonadati; Pseudomonadota; Gammaproteobacteria; Oceanospirillales; Halomonadaceae. The record is from RNAcentral.
CCUCGGGGGGCAGCAGUGGGGAAUAUUGGACAAUGGGCGAAAGCCUGAUCCAGCCAUGCCGCGUGUGUGAAGAAGGCCUUCGGGCUGUAAAGCACUUUCAGUGGGGAAGAAAGCCUUGGGGCUAAUACCCUCGAGGAAGGACAUCACCCACAGAAGAAGCACCGGCUAACUCCGUGCCAGCAGCCGCGGUAAUACGGAGGGUGCGAGCGUUAAUCGGAAUUACUGGGCGUAAAGCGCGCGUAGGCGGUCUGAUAAGCCGGUUGUGAAAGCCCCGGGCUCAACCUGGGAACGGCAUCCGGAACUGUCAGGCUAGAGUGCAGGAGAGGAAGGUAGAAUUCCCGGUGUAGCGGUGAAAUGCGUAGAGAUCGGGAGGAAUACCAGUGGCGAAGGCGGCCUUCUGGACUGACACUGACGCUGAGGUGCGAAAGCGUGGGUAGCAAACAGGAUUAGAUACCCGAGUAGUC